Molecule: transfer RNA, 88 nt
Filed under: Candidatus Bathyarchaeota archaeon
Lineage: Archaea; Thermoproteati; Candidatus Bathyarchaeota
Description: tRNA-OTHER
Rfam family: tRNA
About the family: Transfer RNA (tRNA) molecules are approximately 80 nucleotides in length. Their secondary structure includes four short double-helical elements and three loops (D, anti-codon, and T loops). Further hydrogen bonds mediate the characteristic L-shaped molecular structure. tRNAs have two regions of fundamental functional importance: the anti-codon, which is responsible for specific mRNA codon recognition, and the 3' end, to which the tRNAs corresponding amino acid is attached (by aminoacyl-tRNA synthetases). tRNAs cope with the degeneracy of the genetic code in two manners: having more than one tRNA (with a specific anti-codon) for a particular amino acid; and 'wobble' base-pairing, i.e. permitting non-standard base-pairing at the 3rd anti-codon position.
Source: RNAcentral
GGGCCCGUAGCUCAGUAAGGAUAGAGCAUCGGAAAGGGAAGCAUAACUUUUAACCCGGUGGUCGUGGGUUCGAAUCCCAUCGGGCCCG